UCAAGCUGUGUGUUUCCUUGUGUGCCUCCCCGUCAAAUGUAAGUUUAUAUUUCCCAGUUUAGUUUUGUAUGCUUUCCCCCUGCCAGCAAUAAAGCUGAGUUUUGAGUUCACCCUUCGAGUCUGAGUAUCUGCACCUUGGGUCCUACUCCUGCCUGCCACACAGCGUUUCAUGACAGAAAGUGACGUUUCCAUUGAGGCACACUUCUUCUUUUUAUUAAGGUUCACAUAAGAACUGAAAACAUUUUUUUGGUUCGUUUUUCCUCCUCGGGAAUAUCCCUUGAGUGUGUGUAGUUCCUGCUUCUAGGAGUCUUACACACGUCUUUGGAGGUCAGCACGUCGGCUGUGAAGGAUAAAGAAGGGAAGGUGAAGCUCACAUGGAGGAACGCCCCUCUGCCCCUCACUAGAAGCACUUACCAUAACAACUUGAUAAGCACAUUCCAAGCAGUACGACUUGCACACUAUGGGCUUGUGAUCAGGCUCAUGACUACUGAGGAGGCGGAGUCAAAAGGAAACCUAAUGACGCUAAUGACUCAUCACAUUUUGGCUUUGACGUGUUGAGUGUAUAGGAAAAAAAAUGGUGAGGAUGCAUCCCUAGGGCAACAUAGUGAAACAAGAACAUGUGUUAAAAUGCCAUUAACCUUCACCCACUGUGAUAGUUCAGUUAAAAAAAAAAAAUCCAUCAGUCAACAAAUUAGGCCACGAUCACUGCACUGCAUCCCCAUCAGGGACUUUACGCCCUUCCACACAGAGCAAAUACCUGGUACUGAGCAUAUUCCCUGCACUGUCCUUGUAGCUACAUUUAGCAAGUUUUAACUCCUUUUUAACUUGUUCCUGUAGUUCCUCCUAUUGAUCUACAUCCCACUGAUUAAAGAAGAUAAUUGGGAUAAUUUCUGACAGCUUUGGAGACUCAUGGUUUAUAACUGGGACAAAUGUAAAGUGAUAUGAGUUCAUGCAGGUUAGAGAUAUUAUUAAAGAAGUCCAAGCCAAUGUAACUGAAGCAGUCCUGGAGAAACUGAACAUACUUCUGCAACCAGACUGGGCUCAAAAUCUCUUCCACACUGAGUUUUACUAUGAAAUAAAAAUAACAAGUUUGAUCACUGGACAUACUAAAACACACAUGUAACUUUGUGGUUUCAGUGUGGACUGUGGCCUCAGAUUUGAACAUACUUUCUCAUACACUGUUUAAUGUGUUAAGGUUUUGGUGAUUCUUUCCUGUUGAUGAAGUUUCGUGACUACAAUAUUUAUCAUCUUAUUUUUACAAACUCAGAAUAUAAUGCGGCCUUCUCUUUACCAGAAAUAUCAAGUACUGUCUUACUUGCAGAAAUCUGACAGCAAGUAAUACAAUAAGGAAAUGGGAUUAAAAGAGACUCUGGUUAGUUUCCGAGGCUUGCGCAACAAGCUGGGAACUUCAAAACAGAAAAGGCGUAAAAUCUGACAGCAAUUUUAAAACUGCACCAUGGCGACAACUUACAUAUUUACAAACAUCGCACGUAUUGGCUAAACCUCGACACACCUCCAUCUCAAGCUUACUGGAAAACAAUAAAUAAUAAAUGGGUGUAGAUGCAAUGCAGGACAACUUUCCUCAGGUUGAGCAUGUGACUUAUAAUGUGUAUUGUUCUACUGUACUACGAACGCAUGCCUGCCCGACGUCAGUGACAAAGCAUCAGAGAUUGCUCAGGGCGCACUGAUCCUGAGCUCCAGUCAGCAAAUAAGUACAACAGUGAUUUGUUAAGCUGGUGUGUCUACCUGCGUCGGAGUGAUUUACACAAAUUACUGUAAUAGCCGUACCAUUGAAAAAUGAAAAAUGCAUCUAGUGUUGAUUUCUUCAGCACUGAUUAAAAGCCUAGUUAGCAGGAACAUCACAAAAUGCAAAUUAAAGACAUUCUGAAUGACUUUUAUCCAACUAAAUUCAGCAGGUUAAGGCAAGCAACCAAACUAAAGAAACCAGAUACCUUUUUUUGACAUACCAUCUCAGGCUAAGGCAAAUCAAGGUCUGGAUCAGGAUUUAAGGAAGUAUGAUGCGGAAAAAUCAUCUGACAUGAAUUAAUGGAAAGAUCAAAGCAAGAUAAAACUUGCACUGUGGAUUUUUUUGUCUUUCUCCUGUACUGAUUUCAACUUCCUUGCAAACUUUCAUGAGAAUAUAUGCCCAAAUAUGUGUUAUCUGCAAC
This is a long non-coding RNA of Oreochromis aureus, 2168 nucleotides long. RefSeq lists it as uncharacterized. Lineage: Eukaryota; Metazoa; Chordata; Actinopteri; Cichliformes; Cichlidae. The transcript has 3 exons. The record is from RefSeq and is a predicted model, not a curated record.